This 368-nucleotide ribosomal RNA is filed under the name uncultured Spirochaeta sp. Its description in RNAcentral is "bacterial SSU rRNA". It matches the Rfam family "Bacterial small subunit ribosomal RNA", at positions 1022 to 1382 of the family's 1533-position model. Lineage: Bacteria; Pseudomonadati; Spirochaetota; Spirochaetia; Spirochaetales; Spirochaetaceae. The record is from RNAcentral.
GCGGUCUGUAGUACAGGUUGCUGCAUGGCUGUCGUCAGCUCGUGCUGUGAAGUGUUGGGUUAAGUCCCGCAACGAGCGCAAACCCCUAUCAAUCUGUUGCCAGCAUUUAAGGUGGGGACUCAGAUGAGACUGCCGGUGACAAACCGGAGGAAAGGUGGGGACGACGUCAAGCCGAUCAUGGCCCUUAUGUCCUGGGCUACACGACGUGCUACAAUGGCCGGUACGAGAGUGAAGCGAAACCGCGAGGUGAAGCAAAACGCAGAAAAGCCGGUCUCAGUACGGAUUGGAGUCUGAAACUCGACUUCAUGAAGUUGGAAUCGCUAGUAAUCGCGCAUCAGCAUGGCGCGGUGAAUACGUUCCCGGGCCUU